AAGCUUAAUUAUGUACACCUUAAUUCACAACCCCACAUCGAACCCUCUAGUCAUACUGAGAACUUCUAUAACAUUAUAGAACCUUUUAUGUUAAAACUAGUAACAAGAGGCAACACCUCUCCUUAAUGCAAGCGUAAGCCAGCAGGAACCCAUCACUGGCAAUUAACAACCCAAACAAGUAGCAACCCACCCAGAGACCCCUACUCUUUUCAUUGUUAACCUAACACCAGAGCAUUUCAAGAAAGAUUAAAAGAAAAAGAAGGAACUCGGCAAAUAUCUUAACCCCGCCUGUUUACCAAAAACAUCGCCUCUUGCCAACUAUAAGAGGUCCAGCCUGCCCAGUGACUUGUUUAACGGCCGCGGUAUCCUAACCGUGCGAAGGUAGCGUAAUCACUUGUCUUCUAAAUAAAGACCAGUAUGAAAGGCAUCACGAGGGUUAAACUGUCUCCUUUAUCUAAUCAGUUAACCUAUUCUCCCCGUGAAGAAACGGGGAUUCUCCUAUAAGACGAGAAGACCCUAUGGAGCUUAAAACAUAAUAACACCUGCCGCCCACCAAAAUAUUCAGAUACCCUACCCCUGAGCACACUGAUUAUAAGUUUUUGGUUGGGGUGACCGCGGAGAAAAACUUAUCCUCCAUGAUGAAGGGGACUCCCCCCCUAAACAAUAAGCUACAACUUUAUGUAUCAAAAAAUUGACAUCCUUUGACCCAAUAAUUGACCAACGAACCAAGUUACCCUAGGGAUAACAGCGCAAUCCACUUCGAAAGGCCCUAUCGACAG
Molecule: ribosomal RNA, 779 nt
Filed under: Pristimantis cedros (Los Cedros rainfrog)
Lineage: Eukaryota; Metazoa; Chordata; Amphibia; Anura; Strabomantidae
Description: partial 16S ribosomal RNA
Rfam family: Bacterial large subunit ribosomal RNA
Source: RNAcentral